UCAGUCCCUGCAACAGCCCAGAGCUGUGUCUGAGUAAGCAGGGGACCAGCCAGCAGGAGAGGAGAGAGGCAGGAGAGUCCUGCAGCUCUGGACCACCUCCUGCCCUCCUAACUGUGAGGUGCCCCUUGCUGGCCCAACCCAACGGCAGUGGCCUUGGGGAGGGUUCCCAGCCCUGCCUGCGUCCUGGGAAGGAGCCAAUGCUGCCCUUCUGCUGGCCACCCCACACCAGGGACAGAGAGAGCAAGGCCGUGCAUUUCUGUUUGGGAAGAGGAGGGAGAGAGGGGAAAGGAAGAGGGAUGACUCACAAGUGCUGAACUUUUGAGGAAAGCACAGCUGUAAUCCCAGACCAUCUGACUGGGGAGAUUGUUCUGAACAGUGCUUACUUAUGUAGUGCUUUCCCUUCAUCCUCCUCCACCUUGAAAAAAUCAGUCAGUUCUGCCACACAAAGCAAGAGAGAAAAGAUUUCCAGGAAUAUAAUUAAUGUUUUAAGCAAGAGAAGUCAUCAGUCCCGUUACUACGUGUCUUCCAAAGGGGUAAGAUCUUGUGUGGAACAGAAGUGGACAGAGAUAAGAUACUUUGGAAGACGACCAUGUGUUUGAUGUAAGAAGCUGGUUACUUCAUAUUGUGCGACCUCUUCUAGAUCCCCUGUCUCAGAUCAAACAUGGUUAUGUUAUAGGACUUCUGUUUAUGUUUCCUUGCGAAAAAAAGCCCUGCCAAAAUCUGUUUGUGGCAGUUUUACCGGAAGUUGCACACUGCUGUUUCUUACGUGAUGACAGUCGGCUAAAAGAGUGUAUACUUCUGUCUGUCUCCUACAGAUCUUACCUUUGUAAUGGUUAGGAGGACAUGCUUUGUCUGGUACCUAUAAGUGGAAAAGAACCAGAAAGAAGUCGGUGCCUGAGCUAUCUUUUUAAAACCAUGUUCUAAAAUACUGUGGCUCAUUAUCAGCUAGGAAAACUGUGCACAAAUGAAAGCAUUGCUGAAACUCUGGUGACUGGAUACUGGAUGAUGACAGCUCUCUCUGCCCUAACGUCUUUCAGUGAUUCUUGUGCUCCUAGUAAAGUCUGUGACAAUUAA
This is a long non-coding RNA of Harpia harpyja (harpy eagle), 1074 nucleotides long. RefSeq lists it as uncharacterized. The transcript is spliced from 2 exons. NCBI's taxonomy places the organism in Eukaryota, Metazoa, Chordata, Aves, Accipitriformes, Accipitridae. The record is from RefSeq and is a predicted model, not a curated record.